ACUGCCCGUCGCUACUACCGAUUGAAUGGUUUAGUAAGGUCGUUGUAGUGGCUUUGCCGCUCGACUGAUGCUGAGAAGAUGAUCUAAUUUAACUAGUUAGAGGAAGUAAAAAUCUUAACAAGGUUUCUGUAGGUGAACCUGCUGAAG
RNAcentral lists this non-coding RNA (147 nucleotides) under Schistosoma curassoni. Its description in RNAcentral is "Eukaryotic small subunit ribosomal RNA". It matches the Rfam family "Eukaryotic small subunit ribosomal RNA", at positions 1668 to 1823 of the family's 1831-position model. The record is from Rfam by way of RNAcentral. Lineage: Eukaryota; Metazoa; Platyhelminthes; Trematoda; Strigeidida; Schistosomatidae.